RNAcentral lists this ribosomal RNA (523 nucleotides) under Pleosporales sp. HKC17. RNAcentral describes it as "eukaryotic LSU rRNA". The stretch from base 149 to 301 matches the Rfam family "5.8S ribosomal RNA". The record is from RNAcentral. Lineage: Eukaryota; Fungi; Ascomycota; Dothideomycetes; Pleosporales.
UCAUUACAUUGCAGUCGCGUAGCUACUUGUUUACACCCUUGUUUUUUUGCGUACCUAUUGUUUCCUCGGUGGGCUUGCCUGCCGGUUGGACAAACCUUAUAACCUUUUUCAAUCUUCAAUCAGCGUCUGAAUUAUACAUAAUCAUUACAACUUUCAACAACGGAUCUCUUGGUUCUGGCAUCGAUGAAGAACGCAGCGAAAUGCGAUAAGUAGUGUGAAUUGCAGAAUUCAGUGAAUCAUCGAUCUUUGAACGCACAUUGCGCCCCUUGGUAUUCCAUGGGGCAUGCCUGUUCGAGCGUCAUUUGUACCCUCAAGCAUUGCUUGGUGUUGGGCGUUUUGUCUUUUUUUCUUUGCAAAAUAGACUCGCCUCAAAGUAAUUGGCAGCCAGUGUUUUUGGUAGUAAGCGCAGCACAUUUUGCGUCUUCGUCUUCAAACAGCGGCAUCCACGAAGCCUCUUUCUCACUUUUGACCUCGGAACAGGUAGGGAUACCCGCUGAACUUAAGCAUAUCAAUAAGCGGAGGA